This 468-nucleotide ribosomal RNA is filed under the name uncultured bacterium. RNAcentral describes it as "bacterial SSU rRNA". It matches the Rfam family "Bacterial small subunit ribosomal RNA", at positions 28 to 496 of the family's 1533-position model. The record is from RNAcentral.
GACGAACGCUGGCGGCGUGCCUAACACAUGCAAGUCAACUUGACUGAAGGAGCAAUCUGACAGUAGAGUGGCGCAAGGGUGCGUAACGCGUAAGUAACUUGCCCCAAGGUAAGGAAUAACGUCGAGAAAUCGGCGCUAAUACCUCAUAAUGCAGCGGAUCCGCAUGGAUAUGUUGUUAAAGGUUUACCGCCUUGGGAUAGGCUUGCGUCUGAUUAGCUAGUUGGUGUGGUAACGGCACACCAAGGCUACGAUCAGUAACUGGUCUGAGAGGAUGAUCAGUCACACUGGAACUGAGACACGGUCCAGACUCCUACGGGAGGCAGCAGUGAGGAAUAUUGGGCAAUGCUCGAAGAGUGACCCAGCAACGCCGCGUGGAGGAUGAAGGUAUUCUAUAUCGUAAACUCCUGUGAGAGCAGACGAAAGACAGAUUAUUAAUCUGGAUGACUGUAUGCUCAGAGGAAGCCCCGG